Molecule: long non-coding RNA, 372 nt
Organism: Arvicola amphibius (Eurasian water vole)
Lineage: Eukaryota; Metazoa; Chordata; Mammalia; Rodentia; Cricetidae
Exons: 3
Source: RefSeq, a predicted model, not a curated record
CCUGCCCUCCGCUACCUACCGCGGCUCCUCCAGCUCCCAGGGCCGCGGCCGGAGCAGCUCUGAGCGCUCCGUUCACCCCACGGUGCCCUUAAAAGGCGCUAGCACGAACCAACGGGCCCUUGAGGAGAGUGGGGGGAUCGCUCCUGUUCGCAGCCUCUCCCGGUACCGCCCGAAGAGGCCCGAGCCCUAAAGUGGACGGGCCCAGUUGGAAGCAUAUCCUGAAGCCCGUAGGGGAAGCCAUGUCGGAUAAAGGAACUGGAAACCACCUUUUUAUUAAGUCUCUACCACCACCAUCUCCCACCUCAUCCAAAGUUUUAAGUCAUCUUUCAAGAACUGAAUGUUGAUAUAGGUGGUGGUGGUGGGACAAACCAC